Long non-coding RNA from Lycium ferocissimum, 378 nucleotides. RefSeq lists it as uncharacterized. Lineage: Eukaryota; Viridiplantae; Streptophyta; Magnoliopsida; Solanales; Solanaceae. The transcript has 2 exons. The record is from RefSeq and is a predicted model, not a curated record.
AUACGGGUAUGGAUCUAGAGUUUCUCGGACUCGGACUCGGCAUGAUCUAAAUUUUAAGAUUCGUGGGUACGGAUCCGGGUACGGAUACGGGUGCGGGGAUUCGGCAAAAAUAAUUCAAAAUUCUAAUAAUAUAGCUACAAGAAUAUGCCUAGAUUAUGAGAGCUUUUUGUGGAAGCACUUACAUGUAGUUUGUACCAGACAUGUGAUUCAAUCUUCCAUUCUACUAGAACAUCUGAAACAGAGAUAGAGAAACUAGUUAAAUUUUCUACAUAAUAUUGAAGGUAUGCCAUCUCAUGUCUUCAAAUCUCUACUUUUUGUUAUCUUGAGAAAUCAUAAUCUCAAAAUUUUUCUUUAAUUUGGUCAUGAAUUUCGGUCAAA